GUGGGAGCUGGGAAUGUUUUUGAACUAGUUCUUGAAAAAAAAACUAGUACAAUAGUACAACUGUCUUAAUUUUAUAUAUGAGGAAACUGAGGCCCAGAGAUGAAAUCAUGCCUUGAUUUAUGCAGACCUCAGUACCUGUUCGUGACAAAUCCAGUUACUAAAAGAAAUAACCAUGGAUAUGGGUAGAGACAGAGCCAUAUGGAAUGCACACUGCAGUGGUGAACACAUGGCCCAGCUCUGCCAUCAAGGAGAAGGUGAGAACAUGGGGGAAGAUUUUAUCGAAGUUUCUUUUCUGGGGCAUAUGCUCAGGUUAAACACCUGCUCUGUAUCUCUAGCUUCUGACUCCUACCCCUGGCCAGCUCUGUUACUCUAGUACACUGCUAGGCAGGCAGAGUAUGGCCAAAGUAUUCACAACAGUGCAUCACUAAAUCAACUGGGAUCCACACAAUGGAAUAUCCUAAUGCAUCAUUAAAAAUCACAUUGUAAAAGAAGAUUUUAUAACAGAAAAAAAUGCACUGUAUAUGAUACAUUUUUAAAAUGUUACUUAUGCCAGUCACAAUAAAAGACAAUUACACUUAUAUGGGAUAGAGUAGUCAAUAUUAUAGAGACAGAAGGUAGAAAUGGGUCUGGGUGGAAAUUAGAAUGAGAUGUUCUUAGCAUUCCAGUUUUACAAGAUGAAAAGAGUAACGGAGACAGAUGGCAGUGGUGG
This 709-nucleotide long non-coding RNA is filed under the name Homo sapiens (human). RNAcentral describes it as "non-protein coding lnc-CUL2-3:10". Lineage: Eukaryota; Metazoa; Chordata; Mammalia; Primates; Hominidae. The record is from RNAcentral.